AGUGAACGCUGGCGGUAGGCCUAACACAUGCAAGUCGAACGGCAGCACAGUAAGAGCUUGCUCUUACGGGUGGCGAGUGGCGGACGGGUGAGGAAUACAUCGGAAUCUACUUUUUCGUGGGGGAUAACGUAGGGAAACUUACGCUAAUACCGCAUACGACCUACGGGUGAAAGCAGGGGAUCUUCGGACCUUGCGCGAUUGAAUGAGCCGAUGUCGGAUUAGCUAGUUGGCGGGGUAAAGGCCCACCAAGGCGACGAUCCGUAGCUGGUCUGAGAGGAUGAUCAGCCACACUGGAACUGAGACACGGUCCAGACUCCUACGGGAGGCAGCAGUGGGGAAUAUUGGACAAUGGGCGCAAGCCUGAUCCAGCCAUACCGCGUGGGUGAAGAAGCCUUCGGGUUGUAAAGCCCUUUUGUUGGGAAAGAAAAGCAGCAGGUUAAUACCCCGCUGUUCUGACGGUACCCAAAGAAUAAGCACCGGCUAACUUCGUG
RNAcentral lists this ribosomal RNA (491 nucleotides) under uncultured bacterium. Its description in RNAcentral is "partial 16S ribosomal RNA". It matches the Rfam family "Bacterial small subunit ribosomal RNA", at positions 29 to 507 of the family's 1533-position model. The record is from RNAcentral.